This 256-nucleotide ribosomal RNA is filed under the name uncultured bacterium. Its description in RNAcentral is "partial 16S ribosomal RNA". It matches the Rfam family "Bacterial small subunit ribosomal RNA", at positions 524 to 777 of the family's 1533-position model. The record is from RNAcentral.
UACGUAGGGUGCGAGCGUUAAUCGGAAUUACUGGGCGUAAAGCGUGCGCAGGCGGUUUUGUAAGCCAGAUGUGAAAUCCCCGGGCUUAACCUGGGAAUGGCAUUUGGGACUGCAAGGCUGGAGUGUGGCAGAGGAGACUGGAAUUCCUGGUGUAGCAGUGAAAUGCGUAGAUAUCAGGAGGAACACCGGUGGCGAAGGCGGGUCUCUGGGCAGUGAACUGACGCUGGAGGAGCGAAAGCGUGGGGAGCGAACAGGA